Molecule: ribosomal RNA, 546 nt
Filed under: Triticum aestivum (bread wheat)
Lineage: Eukaryota; Viridiplantae; Streptophyta; Magnoliopsida; Poales; Poaceae
Description: partial small subunit ribosomal RNA
Source: RNAcentral
AUGAUGGGUAGAUUUCGCCCUGCCAUCAAUGACCUCGAAUUGAAGGAGAUAUACCUCAACGGACGCUGCUUCACUUGGUCGAACGAGCAAUCGCCGCCUACGCUGGUGCACCUCGACCGCGUUCUCUGCACAUCCGAUUGGGAAGACGCACACGGCGAGUGCCAUCUUUGUUGCCUUGCUUCGGUCGUGUCAGACCACUGUUCGCUGCUGUUGGACUGCUCCCCCAUGCCGACGGCCCACAAGCGCUUCCACUUCGACGAUUAUUGGUUGCGACUGGACGACUUCCAUGACAUCGUCGCUGUGGCUUGGGGCUCGGUGCACGACCACGAUCCCUUUCAACAGCUGGUCAAACGCCUUCAAGCCAUGGCCCACCGCCUCACGGGUUGCUGCGCCAAGUCCACGGGCAACAUUCGGGACAAGCUUGCCAUCUCCCGCGAGCUGAUCUCCCACUUCGACAAGACCCUUGAGGAUCGUGUGCUCUCGCCCCCGGAGGAUUGGUUGCAAAAGCAGCUCAAGCUCGCCUACCUUGGCAUGGCAUCCAUGGAG